UGAUAACUCACAUGUCUAGUUACCACUGUUCUGAUAAUGUAAGCAUAGAAUGGAACAAAGGUAACCAAGUAUUUAAAUUAUAUAUGUGAGUGAAUUGAUAACUCACAUGCCUAGUUACCACUGUCCUGAUAAUGUAAGCAUAGAAUGGAACAAAGGUAACCAAAUAUUUAAAUUUCACAUGCGAGUGAAUUCGGUGCCAGCGGG
Paramuricea clavata is the source of this 204-nucleotide non-coding RNA. Lineage: Eukaryota; Metazoa; Cnidaria; Anthozoa; Malacalcyonacea; Plexauridae. The record is from the annotation of a GenBank genome assembly.